CCCGCCGCCGCCGCGUUCAUCCCCAGGACCCGUUGCCGGGAUGGCGGGCAGACCCCCGCCCGCCUGGCCCCUGGGCCUGCUGAGCUUCGGACGUGGCAGUGCACUUCACCCAGGAAGGGGGUGGGUCUGGACCUACGGCAGAGGGCCCUGAAUAGGGACUUGAUGCUGGAGAUUCACAGGAACCUGGCCUCACUGAGUACGGGGUCUUAGACCCAGGCCUUUCCUCUCACCCACCCUAGCCCCCAUCAGAGCUCAGAGGGGUCCUGGAGGGGCCAGGUGGGCUGGGACCAGAGUACCCUCCUCCCAUUCAGACCAGAGCCCAGGAUUUCCAGGAUCCAAACCAGAUCUGAUCUCCCGCUGGAGUAAGGAAAGGAGCCCUGGGACUUGGACCUGCUAGGGGCCGAGGAAAGAGAGACCCUGGGAAACCUCAGCAUGGGAGAUGCAGGUUUGGAGAACUUUCCAGGAACCCAGCCCUGUGCCAGGUGCCUCACUCUCUCCCCCCAACUCCACAGGACAAGUGUCAGUUAAAACCCUCAACUGCAAGGAACAGAAAACUCGAAUCAAACUGGCCAAAGCAAGAGGGCGCAGCCCUCGACUCAGGUCAGGAAGUUGCUCUUGUCAGCGCCGGGGCAAGAGUGAAGUAUCUAACACUCCUCCAGCCCAGAACACGUCCAGCUCCCAGGACGGCUGGUGGCCAUGCAUGGCAGCGAGCCCACUGGCUGACCAUCGUCCAGUCAGGAUGUGUCUGCUCACCUGCCCUUUGCCGUCCUGUGUCACCCCUUCCCAGGGAGCCCCCACCUGUGGUGGAGGUGGCAGCUAAGGCCUCAUAGAUCCCGCUCACAUCCAGCUCUGCUGCUUCAUCACCAGCUGAGUGGCUGGGCAAGUUAUGUACCCUCUGUGCCUCAGUUUCCCCAGGGUUGCUCUGAGAACUGACUGCAUUAUCCAUGUGGAGAGCCUGGAACUGCUAACCACUGUCAUCACAGCAAGUCCAGGACAAGAGGAAGCCCUCAGUGCCAACGCUACAAACUCACAUCCUGAGCAGGUUGCCUGCCCAUCUCAAACCAAGCAGUCAAGCCCAGUGGUCAAGUCUCCUAAAAUGGGUCCAUUGCCACAAGAAAGGGAACUGGACAUUGGGCAGGCAAAUCUGUGGAUGUCCAGCCAGUGGGAUGUGGACUUGGGCGCCUGCCCAGUGGGGCUCUGAGCUAAUCCCUGGGCCCUUCUGGUCCAUCUAGUGCCUUGUGCAUAGAAGGUGGGCACAUAGCACUGGCCAGGAGAGAACGUUCCUGGGGCUGGGAGCCAGGAGGGAUGUGUGGUGGAGGCCGCAGUGCAGACCCGUGUCCUUGCUGCAGCCUGGUCCUGGACCUCCGGCUGCCUGCUGCUGCAGGUCUGCACCUCACGGCCAGCCUGCUUCACAACAGGGCUGCGCUGCAGGCCCUCCCCAGCAUGUGCACUCACCCCCUGUGCAGCGUGCUGACAGCUUCUGGGGAGCCGGGAACCCUAGUGGGUUUCUAGACCUGUGUUCUCCAAUAUGGGAGCUGCUAGCCACGUGUGGCUCUUUAAGUUGAAUCCAUUAAUUUAAAUAAAAUUUGGAAUUUGGCUCUUCGAUGGCAGCAGCCA
Long non-coding RNA from Galeopterus variegatus (Sunda flying lemur), 1617 nucleotides. RefSeq lists it as uncharacterized. The record is from RefSeq and is a predicted model, not a curated record. NCBI's taxonomy places the organism in Eukaryota, Metazoa, Chordata, Mammalia, Dermoptera, Cynocephalidae. The transcript has 4 exons.